AUCAACUUAGCAAAUUAAGUGCAAAUAAUUUAGAAUUAUUAAAAAAAGGUUAAAAUCCUUUAGUUGGUA
Molecule: transfer RNA, 69 nt
Filed under: Chaetopleura apiculata
Lineage: Eukaryota; Metazoa; Mollusca; Polyplacophora; Chitonida; Chaetopleuridae
Description: tRNA-Leu
Rfam family: tRNA
About the family: Transfer RNA (tRNA) molecules are approximately 80 nucleotides in length.
Source: RNAcentral